CUGAGAUCCCUGUUACGCUACUGGUCAAGAGAUACCCCAUGCCUCCCAAUGUGACCCUGGUAAGGCUUGUUUACAGCAGUCGGCAGCGCAGAGAGGUGGAGCUGGAGUGGCAGAUGGAGGGAGAGGGAGAAGGAGGAGAGGGAGGAGGGCUGACUGGAUUUAUACUUGAGCGCAGACUAGAGGAGGCACCAGGGAGAAGGAGAGGAGAGGAGGAAAAAGAGAAGGACAGAGAGGAGGCUGGUGCAGAUCCUGCUGACCAAGAGGAGCAGCGACAGGAAAAAAGGAGUAGUUUCUCUCCAUGGAAGCAGGUGGUUGUAUUGGAAGCCAGGGAGAGGGUCCACACGCUGGGCAACAUGACCCCAACAGAUACCUACCAGAUACGCAUCACAGCUGUCAAUCACAGAACCCUCGGACACCCAUCCCCCCCAGAAACACCAGCGGACCCUCCCUUCAGUGCGUACCCUGCUGUGAUUGGAGCUGCCAUUGGAGGGAUGCUCAUCACGACCAUAGCAACUGUUCUGCUGUUCAUGUACAUAUUCCGCAACUGCAACAACAACCCCAGACUCCAUGACAUGCUCUUUGGAAUGCAGCACAGCUGGUCCAGGGAGAACAUCAACCUCCCUGAUGAUGAGGUGAUGGGAGGAGUUGACGGAGAGGGAGGAGCUACAGAACAUUGCCCCUCCCCUAGCCCAGGUCACGUCCAUGUCCUCUCCUAGGGCUGCCUCCCCCGUCUCCCCUCCUCUAACUGCUGAGGACAACGAACCUGUCAACGUCACCAUCACCGUCAUGGCAACGGGCUGAAGAUCACACACACAUCCAUACAUACUGGAUAAUGCUGCGUUCAUAACAAGUGGAAACUCUGUAAAUACAAUUUGUAUUAAAAGUACAGCUGUCAUGCUCAAAAACAUUAUAGUGUUCAAAUACCAUACUAAUAGAUUAUUUUUCAAAAAUAAUGAUUUGCUGUUGCAUUUAACUUCCAAAAAUGCUGUUAUCAAGGUAAUUUCCUUAGUAUGUGAUGUCAGAGUUCAGCAUGUGGGAGAAGUCGAAGCUCAGAGAUGAUAGACGAGUUUCCCACUAGUAAUUACCAGUUGGAAGGGCAUGCAAGUGUAUUUUUCCAAGUCAUAUGCUGGUAUUUACAAAUAUAGGAG
Oncorhynchus tshawytscha (Chinook salmon) is the source of this 1148-nucleotide long non-coding RNA. NCBI's taxonomy places the organism in Eukaryota, Metazoa, Chordata, Actinopteri, Salmoniformes, Salmonidae. The record is from Ensembl.